GUUCUUAUGUGAGUGCUCUGAAUACAUCCAUAGUAGUGCGUCAUCUGAUCGGCCUAUCUGAUCGGCUUUUAUGGAGACCACCGAUCAAACUAUUUAAAGCCUUUAUCGGCCGAUAACGAUCGGUUCCCGAUCAAUCGGAGCACCCUUACUUAAAAUGCGAACAAAGCACUGCAGAACAACAGGCCUGGUGUAAACAUACAUAUAUUAAACAUAAUUAUGA
Long non-coding RNA from Sander lucioperca (pikeperch), 220 nucleotides. RefSeq lists it as uncharacterized. NCBI's taxonomy places the organism in Eukaryota, Metazoa, Chordata, Actinopteri, Perciformes, Percidae. The transcript has 3 exons. The record is from RefSeq and is a predicted model, not a curated record.